GCUUGACUGGCUCAGUCAGUAGAGCAUGCGACUCUUGAUUGCAGUGUUGUGAGUUCAAGCCCCAUGUUGGGCG
This 73-nucleotide transfer RNA is filed under the name Felis catus (domestic cat). It matches the Rfam family "tRNA". Rfam says of the family: Transfer RNA (tRNA) molecules are approximately 80 nucleotides in length. Their secondary structure includes four short double-helical elements and three loops (D, anti-codon, and T loops). Lineage: Eukaryota; Metazoa; Chordata; Mammalia; Carnivora; Felidae. The record is from Rfam by way of RNAcentral.